AACGAACGCUGGCGGCAGGCUUAACACAUGCAAGUCGAGCGGGCACCUUCGGGUGUCAGCGGCGAACGGGUGAGUAACGCGUGGGAACGUGCCCUUUCCUCCGGAAUAGCCUCGGGAAACUGAGAUUAAUGCCGGAUACGCCCUUUUGGGGAAAGAUUUAUCGGGGAAGGAUCGGCCCGCGUUGGAUUAGGUAGUUGGUGGGGUAAUGGCCUACCAAGCCGACGAUCGAUAGCUGGUCUGAGAGGAUGAUCAGCCACACUGGAACUGAGACACGGUCCAGACUCCUACGGGAGGCAGCAGUAGGGAAUAUUGGACAAUGGGGGCAACCCUGAUCCAGCCAUGCCGCGUGAGUGAAGAAGGCCCUCGGGUUGUAAAGCUCUUUUGUCCGGAAAGAAAGCAAUCGGUUAAUACCCGGUUGUUCUGACGGUACCGGAAGAAUAAGCACCGGCUAACUUCGUG
Molecule: ribosomal RNA, 459 nt
Filed under: uncultured bacterium
Lineage: Bacteria
Description: bacterial SSU rRNA
Rfam family: Bacterial small subunit ribosomal RNA
Source: RNAcentral